UCGUUUUGAUGAGGCAGGUGAGGCAUAAAUAGGAGACGGGAAAAAAAAGAAAGAAAGAAGAAAAAAAAAGAAAAGAGAAAACAGAUAAGGGAGAGAGCGGGGAGGAGAAAGAAAGAGAAAAGAAGGUUCGAGAAAGAGAGAGAGGGGAGUCAGAGUAGAGAGGAAUGAGAAGGGAGAGAGAAGAAGAAAGAGGACGGUGACAGUGCGAUCAGCAGGAGGAAGGAAU
RNAcentral lists this long non-coding RNA (226 nucleotides) under Carica papaya (papaya). RNAcentral describes it as "long non-coding RNA (CPAP_LNC012666)". The record is from RNAcentral. Lineage: Eukaryota; Viridiplantae; Streptophyta; Magnoliopsida; Brassicales; Caricaceae.